UAGGGAAUUUUCCACAAUGGGCGAAAGCCUGAUGGAGCAACGCCGCGUGAGUGAUGAAGGUUUUCGGAUCGUAAAGCUCUGUUGACAGGGAAGAAUAAGCUUCGUUCGAAUAGGUCGAAGUCCUGACGGUACCUGUUUAGAAAGCCACGGCUAACUACGUGCCAGCAGCCGCGGUAAUACGUAGGUGGCAAGCGUUAUUCGGAAUUAUUGGGCGUAAAGCGUGCGUAGGUGGUUUCUUAAGUCCGAUGUGAAAGCCCAUGGCUCAACCAUGGAGGGUCAUUGGAAACUGAGAAGCUUGAGUACGAAAGAGGAGAGUGGAAUUCCACGUGUAGCGGUGAAAUGCGUAGAGAUGUGGAGGAACACCAGUGGCGAAGGCGACUCUCUGGUUCGAUACUGACACUGAGGCACGAAAGUGUGGGGAGCAAACAG
Molecule: ribosomal RNA, 429 nt
Filed under: uncultured bacterium
Lineage: Bacteria
Description: bacterial SSU rRNA
Rfam family: Bacterial small subunit ribosomal RNA
Source: RNAcentral